Molecule: long non-coding RNA, 485 nt
Filed under: Salmo salar (Atlantic salmon)
Lineage: Eukaryota; Metazoa; Chordata; Actinopteri; Salmoniformes; Salmonidae
Description: lncRNA (ENSSSAG00000104368.1)
Source: RNAcentral
AGGUAGGUAGGUAGUCUGGUCCUUUACAUAAAGCAGAGGUGGGUAGGUAGUCUGGUCCUUUACAUAAAGCAGAGGUAGGUAGGUAGUCUGGUCCUUUACAUAAAGCAGAGGUAGGUAGGUAGGUAGUCUGGUCCUUUACAUAAAGCAGAGGUAGGUAGGUAGUCUGGUCCUUUACAUAAAGCAGAGGUAGGUACUCUGGUCCUUUACAUAAAGCAGAGGUAGGUAGUCUGGUCCUUUACAUAAAGCAGAGGUAGGUAGGUAGUCUGGUCCUUUGCAUAAAGCAGAGGUAGGUAGGUAGUCUGGUCCUUUACAUAAAGCAGAGGUAGGUAGGUAGUCUGGUCCUUUACAUAAAGCAGAGGUAGGUACUCUGGUCCUUUACAUAAAGCAGAGGUAGGUAGGUAGUCUGGUCCUUUACAUAAAGCAGAGGUAGGUAGGUAGUCUGGUCCUUUACAUAAAGCAGAGGUAGGUAGGUAGUCUGGUCCUUU